GACAGAGGGUGCAAACGUUGUUCGGAUUUACUGGGCGUAAAGCGCGUGUAGGCGGCUUUGCAAGUCGGAUGUGAAAGCCCACGGCUCAACCGUGGAAGUGCAUCCGAAACUGCAUGGCUGGAGUCUCGGAGAGGAAGGUGGAAUGCUUGGUGUAGAGGUGAAAUUCGUAGAUAUCAGGAGGAACACCAGUGGCGAAGGCGGCUUUCUGGACGAUAACUGACGCUGAGACGCGAAAGCGUGGGGAGCGAACAGG
RNAcentral lists this ribosomal RNA (253 nucleotides) under uncultured bacterium. RNAcentral describes it as "partial 16S ribosomal RNA". It matches the Rfam family "Bacterial small subunit ribosomal RNA", at positions 524 to 776 of the family's 1533-position model. The record is from RNAcentral.